Molecule: long non-coding RNA, 3617 nt
Organism: Peromyscus californicus insignis
Lineage: Eukaryota; Metazoa; Chordata; Mammalia; Rodentia; Cricetidae
Exons: 4
Source: RefSeq, a predicted model, not a curated record
UAAUGUUAAUCCCAUCAGCUCCCAACUAAUCAAACAGGUUUAUAUUCUAAGUGGUAUGUCAGACAUUUGAUGUUGAGGGGCUUGGGUUAUGUGCAGUUUGGGAGAACAUGAAAAGUGUAUCAAUUAAGAGACGCCAACAAGAUCAUUCUUAGGUAUUUAAAAUACAUAGGUGGGUCCAUUGGACAUUGCUGGACAAAAAAGCCUCCAUAACCACUUAACCUGCCCCUAAACAAUACAAUUUUAUACCUUAAUUUUUAUACAUUUUAAAUCACAAUGAAAUGAAAACUAACAAUCUAUGUGCUAGUAUCUGUAUAUGUUUAUAAAAUAAUGUUUUAUGUAUUUUAGACAUGGAAACGCUCUUAUGGCUUUCUGGAUUGAAUCGAACACCUCUGAAUUUACUUAACUUUUUCAGAAGAGAGACAGAACUGUAAGACAGAGCUCGAUAUUACUGAAAAAGUAAACUAGUGGCAGUAAAUGUCAAAAUUCCUCUUCAUAUGGCAUCUCUAAUUAUAAAUUGACACUACUGAAGCAUUGACAGCUUCCAUGAUAUUGCAAGCAUCCUCAGGCUCUUGCAGCUGCAGCCUAAUCUCUACCCUCUCUCCUCCAUUUGUUUUUCCUUCCUGACAUUUGAUUAGUCAACAGUGCUAGCUAGCGCUGGUGUUCCCCCGAGCCACCCUCCAGUUCAAAAUCCAGAGCGCUUCACGCUGCCCUGGAAGUGGGUAGGGAGAGCGGCCUUGGCUUUCAGAGUGAGAUCUGCAUUUAUCAAUCACACCGCAGCUGCUUGGGAACUGGCCUUUGCAGAGGUGAAGUUGGUCUGCUCCCUGGGAAAAAAGGAAAGCCGUUUGCGAUGAAAAUGGAGGCGAAACAAUUUAGGCAGCUGGCAAGGCUUCUGAGAACUGGAAAGAUUGGAUUUCCAGGGCUUGCACAAUGCAGCAGAGAUGGUUUAAAUCUGUGAGAAGCAGACAGGAGAACAGCUUCAGGUCAGUUUAAAAAUGGAAUCUGGGGAGCUCUUCUGCAGAGAAAAUCACACAGGCUGAAUCAUACUGGGGGAGUGAAUAGGGAAAAGCCUGGUUCUGGGGGCCUCGUUUAAAGAGAAAUAAAGACAGUAAAGACGACUCAGCCUCUAGCACAGCUUCAAUUAAAGCCUGUGUGGAUAUAUGCACGGCUGGCGGGAACCUCUGCAGGAACCAAUAACUCGUCCCACCCUUCCAUCGAGUUCCUUCCGCUGUGUCAUCGUGCCUCUCUGAACCUCCCCUGUGAAAUCCUCUCCCACAGUGGCCUCUGAAGAAUCAGCACCAUAGCAUCUCUGAGGAGCUGAUCAGAAAUGCAGAAUCACUGCUGCCACUCGGAUGAACUGAAGUGGCACCAUUCUCCCUAGACAUGUGUAUGACUCUAGGGCACAUUAAAGUUUGAGAUGCACCGCGUUACAACAGACAGUGCUCUGUCUGCAAGAGAGAGCGAGAGCAAGAGACUUUACUUUUGCAUUUCGCAGCAACGGCAUAUAGAUUAGGAGUAACCAUCAUGUUUUAUUCUCUCUGCAAAUACUCAUUUAGCACAGAUGGCUCAGUAGGUGAAGGUGUUGACUACCAAGAUUGAUGACCUGCGUUCAGUCUUGAGAGCCACACAGUGAAAGGACAGAACUAGAGAAUUGACUCUCAAGUGUCCCUUGGCAUGUGAAGAUGCUCCUCUGCAUUCACACAGUUACAGCUUUGUGUAGUUUGUCUCUUCCUCGUGCUCUACUCUAUCGUAUUAGAAGUCUUUCACCAUGUGGAAACCAAAAUGAUACUUCAAACUUAGCUCCCGAUCUAACAGAAUUUGUUGUACUCUCUGAAACUGGUACCCACAGUAAACUCCCAAGUGUCUACUACAGGAAACAACACAUUCUUCUCCAUUGAAGACCACUGGAGCAUACCACUGUGGUUACCGGUAGACAUCUAGUGCCUGAUAAUUCUGAGCCCAGCUUUCAAGAAUGCUGCCUUUUUGUUAUCAACUUGGAAAGUUACUCAUUUUCUUUAUCUUGGAAAUGUUGAUGCUGGUAUGUCUGUAAUCUUAUAGAGAGUAGAUAAGACACUUGGUGAUAAGCUGUAAAAAUUAUCACUGCUGGUAACAGUACUAUUAUUACAAUUCCUAAAUCCUAAAGGUACAUUUUUCUGACCCAAAUCUAAGUAAUGACUAAUUAGAUUUAUAAUUAGGUCAUCUGACAAAGAUUGACAAGGAAGCAAACCUCCAAAAUAACUGAAAACUACAACAAAGUAAUAGAAAACCCCCUGGCAUCUAAAUAUAGUCAUUCAUCAACAUAAUAAGGGAAAAUUCUGAACUUAAUUCUUUGAACUUAAAACUAUUCAAAAAAGGUAGUAACAUUGCUUUCCCUAUUGAAGAGAAUGGAGAAAUCUGAACAAGAAGAAUUGUGCAUCCAAAGCUCAGAUUCUAAAAAGAGUAAAUUCUCCCUUCCUCCAGAAAAGUGGUUCUCAACCUUCCUGAUGCUGUGAUCCUUUAACACAGCCCCUCAUGUCGUAGUGACCCCCAACCAUACAAUAAUUUUUGUUGCAACUUUGUUACUGUUAUGAACAGUAACAUAAAUAUAUAAUAUGCAGGAUAUCUGAUAUGUGACCCUGUGAAAAGGUCAUUUGACCCCCAAGCAGGUCACAAUCCAAAGACUGAGAACCACUAUUCUAAAUGCUAAAAUAUUAGGAUUUAAAUAGGCUAUGAAAAUCAACAACUACAGUGUGAAAUACUGUCACAUUGAACUAACCUAAGAAAUACUUUCAAAGACAAUACUUUAAAGGAAGGAGUUUGUACAUGUGCGUUUCAAAUCUUCUCAAGCACAAAAUAGAGAAAUGACAGAUGGAAACAUGAAUUAUCAAACCACUUUCUGUACAAAAAUAAACUCUUGAACUUUUGUGUUUUGUUUAAUAGAAAAUCUUUUCUUUCUUGACUUGAUUAUGACCUCAGACAUAGAUCAGAACCUGACUUGGUUAUGACUCAGACAUACACCAGAACCUGAUGCAUAUCAAAAAACAAUUCCAGGUGGAAACUUUGAGGAUGUGAAAAAAACAAAAACAAAAACCCACAUGAGUGACAUUUAAAAUGCUUGACAUUCCUUAGCAUAAUACUCAACCACAUGGAGAUUUCAUGCACUUUUCUCUUGGUUCCUCUGCACACUCAGGUGAGUACAGCUCUUCCCUAUAAUCAAGCCGCCCUUCCAAGAGGACAAUUGUGACUGUCCAUUUAACACAAAAUUCACUUAACCUAGGUCUGUUCAGAUAGUGUUUGCUUGGUGGGUGUGGUGGCGUACUGGAAAGUGUGGGAGAUGAAAGAAAAGUACAAGAUGUUGGCAAGCAGAAUCCUGAUCAAGCAUGUCAGUCGCAGGGACUCUCUGAAGGAAGUCAACGGGGAGCCUAGUUCAUGGCCAAUAGUCUAAGAAAUGUCUUUGCAAGUAAAUUGCAUGGCUCAAGAAUGUGCUAAUCUCACUAUGAGUUGAGUCAUAAUUAAAAAUUCUGUACCACUAAAUUGCACAAGGAGGCAUUGUAAGUAGAAGAAUUUUCAUUUAUCUAUCUAUCUAUCUAUCUAUCUAUCUAUCUAUCUAUCUAUCUAUCUAUCUAUUUAUUUAUUUAUUU